GGUUUAUUAAUGAGAGGAUUGAAUUUCUAGUUAUUUCAAGAAGUAAGACUAAUGAAGAAAGUAAGGAGAUACAUGUGACGUCCCAAUCAAAUUCAAAUGGAUUGUCAAAGAUAUCAUCCGAGUUUUCUCAAUUUUUACAUACAAGGUGUUGAAUUUGUAGGUAUGAAGAAGGAUCGGUCUAAAAGUGUUGUUGAGAUUCCUGCUUCAGUUUUGGAGUUCUUUACCAGAAGCAAACAAUUGUGAGGGAAGCGCGUUGCAACAAUACCACUCUGGUGGAGAAUGGAGAGACAUGCUAGGUGUGGUUUCCCAUAGAAAAAAUGAGGCACUGGCUCAAGAAAAUUUCGGUAAUAUGUGGACAAAAGGAAGAAAUCACAAGAGGGAAGAACGUGCAAAUCAGAUGGGAAAAACUUUAAAUCUAAAGACUCCAGUGACGACUCUGAGACGGAACUGUUUGGAAGAAUAUAUAGUGGAGCAACAACUUCUUCAUCCAUGUCCUUAGCUUCUUAGAAUUAUUUAGAUACUCUCUACAUUUUUAUUGUAUUAAAUUGUAGUCAAUAUUUUGGUUUAUUGAAACUAUGUAAAACAUGAUUAGAUGUGUGUUAAUGUAUAUAAUUUUGUUAUUUAAAUAUUAUAUUUUUG
Molecule: long non-coding RNA, 639 nt
Filed under: Olea europaea subsp. europaea
Lineage: Eukaryota; Viridiplantae; Streptophyta; Magnoliopsida; Lamiales; Oleaceae
Source: RNAcentral